UACUGUUCUCUAAAUGCCUGGGAAGCUCCAUUUAGAUGCCAGGCAUUGCUGCGGUGACUCUACCACUGACUCUGUUUAUAGCUUUCAUCAAAGGGAUUCUGAUCCUCUGUGCCAGUGCAAGCCUUUCAGACGAAGCCUUGCUCUGUCGCCCAGGCUGCAAUGCAGUGGCACAAUCUCGGUUCUAUGCAAUCUCUGCCUCCUGGGUUCAAACUAGUCUCCUGCUUCAGCCUCCUGAGUAGCUGGGAUUAUAGGCGCCCGCCAUCACGCCCGGAUAAUUUUUGGAUUUUUAGUAGAGACGGGGUUUCACCAUGUUGGCCAGGCUGGUCUCGAUCUCCUGACCACAGGUGAUCCACCCGCCUUGGCCUCUCAAAAUUCUGGGAUUACAGGCGUGAGCCACCACUCCCGGCCCGUCAAUAUUACCUUGGAACACCCCGGCAAAGCCUUCAGGUGGAGAACGUUCCUGGCGCGGAAUAAUCCACCUGAAUGUGAAUCCUGACCAUUUUUAGGCGCCAGUGGAGGCCGCUGCUUUGGGACCGGCCGUGAGGUGGCGCUGUUGCCCUGUAUCGUGACUCCGUUUUCACCUGGACUGGAGUCUCCGCGAUACCUGGCAUCUAGCGAUCACUGUAGAUCAGCAACAAGUCCAGCUUUUACAGUUUCAGCAGAGGUUUCCUGUGGCUCGCGUGUGGCGAGUCCCGGAAACCUCGGAGCCCACAGACUUCCCUUCGCGGGAGCCCGCCCGAACUCCAUCCUUUGCCGGCAGCCACGCCCCGCAGUGGGAAGGAGGGACUGAAAAGCAUUUCCUUGAGGCUGGCACACCUUGCCCUAGCCAAGCCAGUCAUUAUUUCCCCUCUGACUGGGCCGGUCCCACCUGAAACCGGAGUGACCACAGGAGGGACACGGUAGUGAACGGGGCAUGGGGGGCGGGCGCGGCGGGGAGGGUAAAGAAGGUGGGAGGGGAAUGGCGCCGAGGCAGCCGGGGGUGGACUUUGCAGCUGGGGAGGGAGAAGAAGGGAAGAGGCUGGGAGCGGAACGGUUGUGAUUUGCUGUUUGUGUUUAUGUGAACAAACAGAAAUCACCAAGUGAAUUAACCUGUGUUUCUUCGGAACAAGCAUCUUGUGGGGUUUGGCUUCUGUGUUUUUAUACGGUAAGGGACUAAACCUGCCUCAGCAGAUUUGGUGCAGAGAAAAACAUGAGAAAACCCAGGAAUGGGGGACCUCUGUUUAUUCCUGGAGAGGGGGCCAUCAGGAGAGGGGCAGGGAAAGAAUGAGCUUACAGGAAUUACUUGUCAGAGGACUGCAUAGCCUUUCAGACCAUGGGCUCAUUGCUUUCAGCUUCAGCUUCUUCGACUGCAAAGCAUAAAUACGGGAAUUACUUUCCAGGGUUGUUGCGGUAUUUAAAUGAGAUAUCAAUCACCAUG
RNAcentral lists this long non-coding RNA (1417 nucleotides) under Papio anubis (olive baboon). RNAcentral's name for it is "lncRNA (ENSPANG00000039189.1)". Lineage: Eukaryota; Metazoa; Chordata; Mammalia; Primates; Cercopithecidae. The record is from RNAcentral.